Long non-coding RNA from Episyrphus balteatus (marmalade hoverfly), 607 nucleotides. RefSeq lists it as uncharacterized. The transcript has 2 exons. Lineage: Eukaryota; Metazoa; Arthropoda; Insecta; Diptera; Syrphidae. The record is from RefSeq and is a predicted model, not a curated record.
UCGACGGCAAAGCGUGAUUGUGUUUCUGCUUUUAUCGACAACGAAAAAAUAUAAUCGAGUAUUCUAUCAAAGUCGAAAUAAAAAAACUCCAAAAUUUUUUUAAAAGCAAGAAAAACAACAGAAAAUAACUUUUAACACAAGAAAUAAAUGAAUAUUGAAAAAAAAAAACAUCAAUACUGCUCUUAUGACCAAUUUCAUAAAGCCCUUUUAAAUAUUUAUCCGAAUUUUACGUCCUUAAAUGACGUUUGUUCCAUACAAAAACGUAAUUUAAAAAUUUUAAAGCCUUUUAAAUGUUUAUGAAAUCGGCCAUUACAGUCAAGAUAAAUCCACAGGACAAGAAAAAAAUACAUUUUUUUUUAAAUUAAAUAAAUAAACGACGAAGUCUACAAGUACAAAUCCAACUUCACGAAACUAAUUGAAGACACUGAAGAAAAAACGAAACAAAGAUAACACAAAUUUUCUCAGAGUUGAAAAAGAAAUAUAUACCAGAAAAAAAACGAACGAGAGAAACAGAGAUAAAAAACAAAAAAUGAGAAAAGGGGAAUUAUAAAGUAAUUAUGAAGGUGAAGAACAAAAUCAUGAAAUAGAAAAAGAACAGAAAGGGAAA